Erigeron canadensis is the source of this 1114-nucleotide long non-coding RNA. RefSeq lists it as uncharacterized. The record is from RefSeq and is a predicted model, not a curated record. NCBI's taxonomy places the organism in Eukaryota, Viridiplantae, Streptophyta, Magnoliopsida, Asterales, Asteraceae. The transcript is spliced from 4 exons.
UCAAACACACACAUUCAUUACCGGAAAAACACACACACCUCUCAACCACCGCCAGUCAUCAUCACCGCCCCUUUUUUCCGUCAACAUCUUAGAUCUGAGAUCAUCUCAUUCAACCAUCACUUUCGCUAGAGACCUAAUCGGAAAACCACCACCACCGUGUGCAAAUCGAAAUGGACACAACCACCGUCGCCAACAAACAUCGUCGCUGUCAUCUCAAAUUCUACUUCAUCUUCAUCGUAAAAUAAAAUUAAAUUACAUAUCCGUCAUCUUCAAUGUUAAUAUUAGACUAGAUUUGUACAGAUUGUGAUCGAAGAAUUUGUACAGAAACUUCUUAGAGUUGAUUCGGAGCGAAUUCGACGGCAGAUGCAGGACGUUGCGGUGAAUAACUAUCGCGCAUUCAUCUCUGCUGCCGAUGCUUUGGUUUCGAUCCGUCAUGAAGUCUCGCCAAUUGAUAAACACCUGCAAUCUAUGUGCCUUUCCACAUAUACAUACCGCUGUCACACCUUCCUUCAUCUUCUAGCAAAUUGAUUUGCUUAAAGAUAGAACCCAACAUGAGGAAGGAUGCAUACAACGUAAACGUGUCUACUGAAAUUAGAAACUUCUUGCUUGUGAACUCUUCAAGUGCUACAUUCAUCAUCGUUACUUCAAGCGACUUUCAAAGUAUUAUAAGGGAGUGCUUCCAUCAGGACCACCAGGGAGAGGUAAAACACUAUUUUCAAUGACACUAUAGCAAAAGAGAGUGGAAUGCCAUUUGUGUUCGUGUGAAGUGCAGAGUUCCUAAAUAGUAAAAAAGUGGUGCUUCACAGAUAAAUCAAAUGUUCGGCAUCGUGAAGUGAAAUUCUGAGAGGGGAUUAAAGAUUAAGCUUGGAAAGAAUGUCAAACCAAAGGAUGGGAAAGGGCUGGAUAAAGAGAAUCCAAUGGAGUUGAAGUAAUUCUAAUGUCAAACAUUUCUUAUGACUGUCAAACUUAUCUAGUACUUUUUAUAUAUUCUCUCUAGUUGUCUAAACAAUACUAGAAUCUGCAGUAACGUGCACUAACGGAUAAUGUUUCAGUUGGUUAAUUUUUGUAUAUGUAUGGUGCAAUGAAGUAAUUGGAAACUACUUUCUGUAAAUAA